GACUGGUGCAUGGGCUGGAGAGUGCAGAGGAGAGUAAACUGGGGCAUGAGUGGGUGGGUGGACUGGUGCAUGGACUGGAGUGUGCAAAGGAGAGUAAACUGGGGCAUGAGUGGGUGGGUGGACUGGUGCAUGGACUGGAGUGUGCAAAGGAGAGUAAACUGGGGCAUGAGUGGGUGGGUGACCGUCGUGGUGAGUCGGUGCAAGACUUGGUGGGUGGGCAUGAUGGUGGUGGUGAGGGUGAGUAGGUGGGUGACUUGGUGACACUGCUGGGGAGAUCAAAUGAAGGUAUGAUGGGAUUUCACCAAAGACAGUGAAACAU
Molecule: unclassified non-coding RNA, 319 nt
Filed under: Hevea brasiliensis (rubber tree)
Lineage: Eukaryota; Viridiplantae; Streptophyta; Magnoliopsida; Malpighiales; Euphorbiaceae
Source: RNAcentral